This is a small nuclear RNA of Sciurus carolinensis (gray squirrel), 107 nucleotides long. The record is from RefSeq and is a predicted model, not a curated record. Lineage: Eukaryota; Metazoa; Chordata; Mammalia; Rodentia; Sciuridae.
GCGCUCGCUUCGGCAGCACGUGCACUAAAAUCGGAGCCAUACAGAGAAGAUCAGCAUGGCCCCUGUGCAAGGAUGACACGCAAAUUCGUGAAGCGUUCCGUGUUUUG